GAAGUACGUCAAUGAAAACGCGACGGUCUUUUACUUCUUCUUUUCCAAUUCGCGGGCCCCACUGACACGUGCCGUCCCGCGAUUUAUUUCUUUUUAAAAAAAAAAAUCUAAAAAUUAAAAAAAAAAAAAAAAAAACUAGAGUGAGGGACGAAUAACGGAUGCCCACGCUCUUAGAAGAUCCUAGCUUUUUUGCUCUGCCUUAGAUUAUCCUGUAUGAUCCAUCCACUUGUGAGUACUUAUUUAGUAUGGACGUGAUUAUCCUGC
Molecule: long non-coding RNA, 264 nt
Filed under: Capsella rubella
Lineage: Eukaryota; Viridiplantae; Streptophyta; Magnoliopsida; Brassicales; Brassicaceae
Description: long non-coding RNA (CRUB_LNC001736)
Source: RNAcentral